RNAcentral lists this long non-coding RNA (2357 nucleotides) under Ananas comosus (pineapple). RNAcentral describes it as "long non-coding RNA (ACOM_LNC043946)". The record is from RNAcentral. Lineage: Eukaryota; Viridiplantae; Streptophyta; Magnoliopsida; Poales; Bromeliaceae.
AAUACCUUGAGUCUACCUCUAAUAUCCGUCUUAGAGGUUUCGACACAACCCAAUCCAUUAACCUUUCGCCACGAAUCACAAGUCCUCGUCUCUCACGAGCCUUAUUCUCCCAUGGUUUCACUAUCCUAGGGUCUCCUAGAUCAGUCUAAACCAUUUCUCCCAUUUCCUACUUUAUGCUCUGAUACCACUUUAUCUGUCACGCCCCGCGACCGCCCGCCUAUUUGGCCGGGUCGCGGCGCCGCAAACAUACCGCCGAACGCACAGAGUUUCCCCUGUACAUCCUAGGCGUCGCAAUCAAUACAAUAUACAAAUGUUCCAACCAGAAACUAAUAUCAAUCAAAAUUGCAUAAGGAAGUAUCAAUAACAUAAAACUAACUGCUAUUACAAGCAUACAUUUCUUACAACAUUUUACAUCACAGUUUUUCUUUUACAUUCAUUGACUUCCAAAUACAAUCAUAUUAUUAUAUUUUAGUACACUGUCCUCUAGUCCCCUAAGCUAAACAGUCUCAGGGUACAGCUACCUCGAUCUCUAUGGUAGGGAGCUAUCUACGAAGCUACGCCCUUGCCUCGCGCCGCCACGCCGCUCACGUACGAACCUGAAACACCCCAAAACAACGUGGGGUGAGAACAAACUCCAUGGUUCCCAGUAGGUACGGCCACCCAAGGAAAAAGCUCGACCAAUAGGUCCGAGGAGGCACUGCAACAAGUUAGUCCAAUAACAUAUAACAUAUAUAUAUUCGAUAUUAAACUAAAUGUCAUGCCUCGCAAAAUACAAUAUGCAAUACCUGUAACUUUAUGCAAGUAGAUUAAUUGAUUCUACUUCAUAUUAUUAGUCAUUCUUUACUUGUAGCCGUUCUUUACUUUAUUAGCUAUUCUCGAUCAUUAGCUUUUCUCUAGUCUUUACUUGGUCACAUUACGCUCAUUGGCGAUUCUAUCCUAAGGUUACUUUUACCUUAGCCAACUAUGCCACUCGACUCGGUCUUCAGUCAAUCCACUGCGGAUAGUCCGCACACUGGCUGCUCAACAGCCCACCGCACUCAAUGGCUUAGCCACCCGGCGGCGAAAUCAUCGCACACGCCCAGCACUAGCUCAAGUCACCCUGCGGCAUAAUCCACAAACGCGGCUCAACCGAUAUAGGCCACAAAUCGGCUCACCCAUCCGGCGGCGAAAUCGUCGCACACGCCACGUCGAUGGUAUAACCCCGGACGGCGAAAUCGUCGCACACGCCGAACACCACUUUGGGUGUUCCAUAAGCUCUGGGAUUCCGGAAUCCAUUUCACAUUACUCAAGGGUUGGUCUUAACCCUAUGGAAUUGACCUAUCUAGGCCCAAGCUUUUACUCAACCUAGGUUAAUACCUUAGGUUCGUUGCUUUCAUACUUAUAGCCUAGGUUUAUUAACACUAGGUCCAUUAUUCUCGUCUACCUAGAUUCACUUGACUCUAGGUUCAUACCUGUAUCUCACAACCUAUGUUCUCUAACAUUAGGUUUAAUGCCCUUCUCGUUAACCUAUGUUUAUUAACACUAGGUUCAUUAUCACUCUUGUUCAACCUAUGUUUAUUAACACUAUGUUCGAUGCCACUCAAUCUUUCCUAGGUUCAUGACACUAGGUUUAAUGCCACUCGAUCUAUGUGUAUAUAAAUGUCCACAUGCACAUGUCAUAUACUAAACCUCUUUACAUUAAGAUCUCCAGAACAUGCUUGUCAUAUAUUUUCUUUAGCAUUCUUAUUUCAUCUCUAUAUGCAUUCUUACAUUAGCAUUUCUACACAUGCAACUUGACUAACAUAUGUCAUUUACUUUAUGCUUUCCAAUUAACAUUAUUCGCACUACGUCAUUAUGCAUUACUAGCAUUCUUACAUUAGCAUUUUAAUAUAUGCAUCAUCCACGUCAUUUAUUAACAGGCAUCAAUAUGAAACCAUAUGUUCUUAGACAUAAAGGGCAACCUAGUCGCUUCGGUAAACACAACCCACUUUAGCUAGCUUUCCGAUUGCUUGUCAACACUUGCAAUCGGCCUCCCGCGGCACUCGGCACCCGUUUGGGCCCGAUCUUGAAGCAGCACUCCAAUAGCGCGUCGCUUCGCCGUUUCAAGAGUUAAAGGUCUUCGCCUUGCUAUUACGGCGCUCGGGACUCAAUCUCGCGAUUUAUGGAUGUCGCCUCGGCCUUCCAGGCGGAAACGAAGCUCCGAACGUCCUUUUCUUCAAUAUCUUUGCAACAGCUUGUAGGAUUGUCGAACCGACUUUGCCAAUGUGUUUCGUUACCUAUCAAUUAGGUUAACAGAGGGUCAAAUGAGAUCAAACCCUCCCAAAUCACAAAAUCCCAUUUUGGAUGCCCUAGAUGCUAUUACUACCAAAUCCCCUAAA